Molecule: ribosomal RNA, 253 nt
Filed under: uncultured bacterium
Lineage: Bacteria
Description: partial 16S ribosomal RNA
Rfam family: Bacterial small subunit ribosomal RNA
Source: RNAcentral
UACGUAGGGCGCAAGCGUUGCUCGGAAUCACUGGGCGUAAAGCGCACGUAGGCGGAUUGUUAAGUCAGGGGUGAAAUCCUGGAGCUCAACUCCAGAACUGCCUUUGAUACUGGCGAUCUUGAGUCCGGGAGAGGUGAGUGGAACUGCGAGUGUAGAGGUGAAAUUCGUAGAUAUUCGCAAGAACACCAGUGGCGAAGGCGGCUCACUGGCCCGGUACUGACGCUGAGGUGCGAAAGCGUGGGGAGCAAACAGG